Molecule: ribosomal RNA, 540 nt
Filed under: uncultured bacterium
Lineage: Bacteria
Description: bacterial SSU rRNA
Rfam family: Bacterial small subunit ribosomal RNA
Source: RNAcentral
AAUAGAUACCCCGGUAGUCCACGCCGUAAACGGUGGGUACUAGGUGUGGGUUUCCUUCCUUGGGAUCCGUGCCGUAGCUAACGCAUUAAGUACCCCGCCUGGGGAGUACGGCCGCAAGGCUAAAACUCAAAGGAAUUGACGGGGCCCGCACAAGCGGCGGAGCAUGUGGAUUAAUUCGAUGCAACGCGAAGAACCUUACCUGGGUUUGACAUGCACAGGACGCUGGUAGAGAUAUCAGUUCCCUUGUGGUCUGUGUGCAGGUGGUGCAUGGCUGUCGUCAGCUCGUGUCGUGAGAUGUUGGGUUAAGUCCCGCAACGAGCGCAACCCUUGUCUCAUGUUGCCAGCGGGUUAUGCCGGGGACUCGUGAGAGACGUGCCGGGGUCAACUCGGAGGAAGGUGGGGAUGGACGUCAAGUCAUCAUGCCCCUUAUGUCCAGGGCUUCACACAUGCUACAAUGGCCGGUACAAAGGGCUGCGAUGCCGUGAGGUUAAGCGAAUCCUUUAAAGCCGGUCUCAGUUCGGAUCGGGGUCUGCAACUCCG